UUCGAUCAAUUAUGUCAAAUUUAGUUACUCUGUUCUUAUCAGUUUAAUAUCUGAUAUGUGGGUCACUUAUCCACAUGAUAUUAAAUUAAUAUUUUGAAGGGAGAAGGCCUGCAACAAUAGCUUGCUAUUGAGAGGUCUUCAAGCGUUGGCCAUGCGUUGCACUAUAGCAUGGUGUUGGCGCACCCUCA
Molecule: small nuclear RNA, 188 nt
Organism: Rosa rugosa (rugosa rose)
Lineage: Eukaryota; Viridiplantae; Streptophyta; Magnoliopsida; Rosales; Rosaceae
Product: U2 spliceosomal RNA
Exons: 1
Source: RefSeq, a predicted model, not a curated record